RNAcentral lists this ribosomal RNA (429 nucleotides) under Chloroflexota bacterium. RNAcentral's name for it is "Chloroflexi bacterium partial 16S ribosomal RNA". It matches the Rfam family "Bacterial small subunit ribosomal RNA", at positions 355 to 776 of the family's 1533-position model. Lineage: Bacteria; Bacillati; Chloroflexota. The record is from RNAcentral.
UGGGGAAUAUUGCACAAUGGGCGCAAGCCUGAUGCAGCCAUGCCGCGUGUAUGAAGAAGGCCUUCGGGUUGUAAAGUACUUUCAGCGGGGAGGAAGGGAGUAAAGUUAAUACCUUUGCUCAUUGACGUUACCCGCAGAAGAAGCACCGGCUAACUCCGUGCCAGCAGCCGCGGUAAUACGGAGGGUGCAAGCGUUAAUCGGAAUUACUGGGCGUAAAGCGCACGCAGGCGGUUUGUUAAGUCAGAUGUGAAAUCCCCGGGCUCAACCUGGGAACUGCUGCUGAUACUGGCAAGCUUGAGUCUCGUAGAGGGGGGUAGAAUUCCAGGUGUAGCGGUGAAAUGCGUAGAGAUCUGGAGGAAUACCGGUGGCGAAGGCGGCCCCCUGGACGAAGACUGACGCUCAGGUGCGAAAGCGUGGGGAGCAAACAGG